Molecule: non-coding RNA, 479 nt
Organism: Hyaena hyaena (striped hyena)
Lineage: Eukaryota; Metazoa; Chordata; Mammalia; Carnivora; Hyaenidae
Source: the annotation of a RefSeq genome assembly
GCCCAGCAGUGCUGUGGGUCUCAGAACACAGAGCUCUGGGCAUCUUCACCAUGGCCUGGACCCUUCUCCUGCUCCCCCUCCUCACUCUGUGCACAGGAUCCAUGGUUGCCAGUGAGCUGAUUCAGCCACCCACGGUGUCAGUGGCCCUGGGACAGACAGCUACAAUCACCUGCUCUGGACCGGAGGAUAAUUAUGCAAACUGGUACCAGCAGAAGCCAGGCCAAGCCCCCGUGCUGGUCAUUUAUGGGGGUAGUGUGCAGCCCACGGGGAUUCCUGACAGAUUCUCUGGCUCAAACUCGGGGAACACAGCCACCCUGACCAUCAGUGGGGCCCAGGCCGAGGAUGAGGCUAACUAUUACUGUCAAACCUAUGACAGCAGUAGUGAUGCACACAGUGACACAGGCAGAUGGGGAAGUGAGACACAAACCCCUUGUCUGUCUGUGUCACACUGUCCUCCAGCCCCUGACAACUCUGCAUAA